CUGGAAGGUAACUUAUUUGUCAUUUAUAUGAUACAUAAAUUGGAAUUAAAGAACACAGAAAAGGCAAGGUACUGGGCCAAAUUUUCCUUGUCAAGCAUUCAAGUAACAUGAUCAGAAAUAGAUAAACGGACUCAAUACAGGCAUGUAUCCAUUAUCAGCUUCUGGUGGCACUACUUGAUGCAAAAUUGCAAACUGAAAACGACAAAUGCUACACAUAUAAAAUAUAUCUUCUGUAAGGACCACCAAGGUCUUUUCUACACAACAUUUGUUCAAGUAAUAAGCAGAAUGGAAAAUGAAACCCUGCAAAUAAGUGGUUC
This 317-nucleotide unclassified non-coding RNA is filed under the name Hevea brasiliensis (rubber tree). The record is from RNAcentral. Lineage: Eukaryota; Viridiplantae; Streptophyta; Magnoliopsida; Malpighiales; Euphorbiaceae.